RNAcentral lists this ribosomal RNA (366 nucleotides) under Triticum aestivum (bread wheat). Its description in RNAcentral is "partial small subunit ribosomal RNA". The record is from RNAcentral. Lineage: Eukaryota; Viridiplantae; Streptophyta; Magnoliopsida; Poales; Poaceae.
AUGCCUCCAUGGUUGCAUAGGCAACCAACACAUCGGCGGUUUCAAGGCUGGUCCUGGGCGGCGCCUCGUCAGCGUCGUGGAUGGUUGGGCAGCGCCUUGGCAUUCCAGAGGGGCGAAGUGGGCCGGCCAGCAUGCGUGGGGCGCAAAGGUCACGAGCAGGAGGGAGAUGCGCUGGAGGUGAUGGAGGAGGAAGUCGGAGGUGGCAUCAGCGUCCAUGGCGACGCCACCCCGGGAACCCUCCUGCACACCUCGGCAUGGUUCGUCUGUGCCACAUGGUGGCCAAGAUGCUGGAGUGGAUCAAGAGCGGACCGUAGCAGCAGGAGCAAGGAUCUGGUGGUGGUUCAUGAUAUUGGACUGCAUUACUAA